Solanum dulcamara is the source of this 358-nucleotide long non-coding RNA. RefSeq lists it as uncharacterized. The record is from RefSeq and is a predicted model, not a curated record. The transcript is spliced from 3 exons. Lineage: Eukaryota; Viridiplantae; Streptophyta; Magnoliopsida; Solanales; Solanaceae.
UCUAUUUAGUAUAUGUGUCUCUAGAAGUUUCAAGACUUCCAAAGAGAGCUAAGUCAUCUUCCAAGAGAAGAAGAGACCGAUACUAGAGGAAGAAAAGGGGAAAAAUUCCAAGUUUUUCAACUUUGAUCCAAAAAUCUUGUCUUCUUGAAUUCUUGUCAAGUUCGAGGCCCUCUUCAACGUAGUAUAAUUAAUUGAGCGAGAAAAUUUCAUUUGUGGCAAGUCGAAAAUUGAAGAAAAGAUUUUGGAAGAAACGGGAUUUGAAUUUGAGUGAGCGUAAGAAGCGGAUAAGGUAUAGACGUUCUGGAUCCAUCGGCGUAGGCUGCAUACCUUCUUCUACUACAGAGUGCUCUAUUGACUC